CGGUUCUAAAAGAACUGACCGAAGACAGUAGGGGACGAAAGUCAUAAACUUCCUACCGAGGACAAAUAUCAAAAUGAUAAUUGAACUCUCUAUGUCUUUUGUGUGUAGAGAUUUUUUGUUUCUACA
Molecule: regulatory RNA element, 126 nt
Organism: Lactococcus lactis
Lineage: Bacteria; Bacillati; Bacillota; Bacilli; Lactobacillales; Streptococcaceae
Rfam family: Ribosomal protein L10 leader
About the family: This family is a putative r-protein leader autoregulatory structure found in B. subtilis and other low-GC Gram-positive bacteria. It is located in the 5' untranslated regions of mRNAs encoding ribosomal proteins L10 and L12 (rplJ-rplL).
Source: Rfam